AGAGUUUGAUCCUGGCUCAGGAUGAACGCUGGCGGCGUGCCUAACACAUGCAAGUCGAGCAGAAAUCGCUCAAUGAUCUUUCGGGUGAUUUGAGCGAUGGAAAGCGGCGGACGGGUGAGUACGCGUAGGUAACCUGCCCCAUACAGAGGGAUAGCCAUUGGAAACGGUGAUUAAUACCUCUAACACCGGAAUAUCGCAUGGUAUACCGGUCAAAGUUUUUCGGUAUGGGAUGGACCUGCGCUGAUUAGCUGGUUGGUGAGGUAACGGCUCACCAAGGCGACGAUCAGUAGCCGACCUGAGGGGUGAUCGGCCACAUUGGAACUGAGACACGGUCCAAACUCCUACGGGAGGCAGCAGUGGGAAUAUUGCACAAUGGGCGCAAGCCUGAUGCAGCAACGCCGCGUGAACGAAGAAGGCUCUGGGUCGUAAAGUUCUGUUCUGAGGGAAGAAGAUCUGACGGUACCUCAGGAGAAAGCCCCGCUAACUACGUGCCAGCAGCCGCGGUAAUACGUAGGGGGCGAGCGUUGUCCGGAAUUACUGGCGUAAAGAGUACGUAGGCGGUUCUGUAAGCGCAUGGUGAAAGGCAACGGCUUAACCGUUUCAGCCGUGCGAACUGCAGGACUUGAGUGCAGGAGAGGAAAGCGGAAUUCCUGGUGUAGCGUGAAAUGCGUAGAUAUCAAGAGGAACACCGGUGGCGAAUGCGGCUUUUCUGGACUGUAAUGACGCUGAGGUACGAAAAGCGUG
RNAcentral lists this ribosomal RNA (744 nucleotides) under uncultured Bacillota bacterium. Its description in RNAcentral is "bacterial SSU rRNA". It matches the Rfam family "Bacterial small subunit ribosomal RNA", at positions 8 to 763 of the family's 1533-position model. Lineage: Bacteria; Bacillati; Bacillota. The record is from RNAcentral.